UAUCUUAUACAUUCAAUUUUGUAAUACAAUUUAACUAUCUAUUUCAUAAAAAACUCGAUUUUAAUUCUACACACUUCAUCUUACUUGAUAAUGAUUUCAUGUCAAAAUAAUAUAUAUAUAUAUAUAUAUAUGAGAUCAAAUCUAUAUCUUAGUUAAUAU
This 159-nucleotide small RNA is filed under the name Arabidopsis thaliana (thale cress). RNAcentral's name for it is "ATSL012320". The record is from RNAcentral. Lineage: Eukaryota; Viridiplantae; Streptophyta; Magnoliopsida; Brassicales; Brassicaceae.